Molecule: long non-coding RNA, 445 nt
Filed under: Homo sapiens (human)
Lineage: Eukaryota; Metazoa; Chordata; Mammalia; Primates; Hominidae
Description: non-protein coding lnc-CCDC182-4:1
Source: RNAcentral
CAGACAGGCCGCAAACGGUAGCUGUCCCCAGAGCCCUGAAGCCCCCAGCCAUCAGGUUUCCUGUUUCCUCAGAGCAGGGAAGGUGCUGGCAGGUGGGUUGGUAUUGAAUCUUAGCUAGAACAGACCCCCCCUCUUAUCCCACCCCAAGCAUCACAGACAGAAGUUUCCAAUGAGGAAUUUCUCAAUUCUCUUCAUUGUUUCAAUUUUCCCCUCUGGCCCUCACACACUAUCCCAAGACUUCGGGCCUUUUCCCUAUCAGUGCUCUGCAUCUCAGUGAUCAUGCCCAGCCUCCAGAAAGUCUGCUUUCUGCUCCAUCUCAUGAACAGAAGCCCUGCUGCUAAAUCUAACCCCACUGGCUCAGGAAGGAGGGGAUGGAGGAAGAAGGGGUAACUGAAGGGCACAGGUAACAAUUUAUGGCCCCCUUGGCACUGUGGUCUUAUCUCUG